RNAcentral lists this ribosomal RNA (253 nucleotides) under uncultured bacterium. RNAcentral's name for it is "partial 16S ribosomal RNA". It matches the Rfam family "Bacterial small subunit ribosomal RNA", at positions 524 to 776 of the family's 1533-position model. The record is from RNAcentral.
GACGAACCGUGCGAACGUUGUUCGGAAUCACUGGGCUUAAAGGGCGCGUAGGCGGGCCGCCGCGUCCGGGGUGAAAUCCUCCCGCUCAACGGGAGAACGGCCUCGGAUACGGGCGGUCUGGAGGGGGGUAGAGGCGUGCGGAAUUAACGGUGGAGCGGUGAAAUGCGUUGAUAUCGUUAGGAACUCCAGUGGCGAAGGCGGCACGCUGGACCCCACCUGACGCUGAGGCGCGAAAGCCAGGGGAGCGAACGGG